GGUGAGUAAUAUAUAGGUAAUAUGCCUUUUGGUUUGGAAUAACCCCGCGAAAGCGGGGCUAAUACCGAAUGAUGCAGCGGCUCCGAAUGGAGAUGUUGUUAAAGCUUCGGCGCCAAAAGAUUAACCUGUAUCCCAUUAGAUAGUUGGCGAGGUAACGGCUCACCAAGUCUGCGAUGGGUAGCUGAUCUGAGAGGAUGAUCAGGCCACACUGGAACUGAGACACGGUCCAGACUCCUACGGGAGGCAGCAGUGAGGAAUAUUGCGCAAUGGAGGAAACUCUGACGCAGCGACGCCGCGUGAAGGAUGAAGGCCCUCUGGGUUGUAAACUUCUGUAGAGAGGGAAGAAUUUUUCGCUUCGCGAAAUUGACGGUACCUCUAAAGUAAGGGUCGGCUAACUACGUGCCAGCAGCCGCGGUAAUACGUAGGACCCAAGCGUUGUCCGGAUUUACUGGGUGUAAAGGGAGCGCAGGCGGAUUUUCAAGUCGAUGGUGAAAUCUUGCGGCUCAACCGCAAAACAGCCGUCGAUACUGUUAAUCUUGAGUGUGGAAGAGAGUGGUGGAAUUCAUGGUGUAGCAGUGAAAUGCGUAGAUAUCAUGAAGAACACCGGUUGCGAAGGCGGCCACUUAGUCCAUUACUGACGCUCAUGCUCGAAAGCGUGGGGAUCAAACAGGAUUAGAUACCCUGGUAGUCCACGCCCUAAACGAUGAAUACUCGGUGUCGGGUCGCAAGAUUCGGCGCUAAGCAAACGCAUUAAGUAUUCCACCUGGGGAGUACGGCGCAGGU
RNAcentral lists this ribosomal RNA (783 nucleotides) under uncultured bacterium. RNAcentral describes it as "bacterial SSU rRNA". It matches the Rfam family "Bacterial small subunit ribosomal RNA", at positions 105 to 893 of the family's 1533-position model. The record is from RNAcentral.